Molecule: transfer RNA, 73 nt
Filed under: Treponema sp.
Lineage: Bacteria; Pseudomonadati; Spirochaetota; Spirochaetia; Treponematales; Treponemataceae
Also listed under: 2 other names
Description: tRNA-Pro
Rfam family: tRNA
About the family: Transfer RNA (tRNA) molecules are approximately 80 nucleotides in length. Their secondary structure includes four short double-helical elements and three loops (D, anti-codon, and T loops).
Source: RNAcentral
CGGGAAGUAGCCUAGCGGCUAAGGCGUCAGGUUUGGGACCUGAAGAUCGCGGGUUCGAUCCCCGCCUUCCCGA